This 2443-nucleotide long non-coding RNA is filed under the name Daphnia magna. RNAcentral's name for it is "uncharacterized LOC116925382, transcript variant X6". The record is from RNAcentral. Lineage: Eukaryota; Metazoa; Arthropoda; Branchiopoda; Diplostraca; Daphniidae.
UGACAUCCGUGUGUGUCAGUUUCCCUCCCAAUUCAAUUGCCAAUGCAUGUCGUCUUCUUCUCGAAAGAUCAUCAACCUUAAUUUGAUAAAAUUCUUUCGUGCACUAUUCCUGGGAUAACUCAAAUUUAAAUAUUCAACACGCAAAAUAUGCAAAUAUGUUUUGUUUUUCAAAACGUUUUGUAGUUCUGAAGGGAUUGAUUUGCCUAAGCAACGACCAAUUCCAAGGCCAUUGGUUUUCUCGAUCCACGUGUCGAAAACGAAGGAGGCAGGGAAUACCUAGGUCUAUAACCUGGUAGCCACUUUUAUUUCGCUACAUCCGCCGCAUAGACGUCGUCAAAGAAAAACUUAAUGAUGAGGAAAUCAUUCUUGAAUGUACUGUCCCCGAGAACACCAGAUGUUUUCAGAAUCCCCUAAUAGACUCCCGACGUGAUGACACACACGACGAACGGCUUUGCAAGAAAAUCUUUCACUAUUCAAAGUGGAAGUUUUUGUCUUUUCCAUCAGAUUUUGGAGUUGUCCAGGAAAAGUUUGACGACAUUCAACUUUGUGAAAACUCUCAAAAGCAAACAAGAAAAAGUUUUCAAAUAUUGACGAAUACCAAGCAAUGAAUGGAUUUUCGAUGGUAUUGGUCUUAUUAUUCUACACGAACCCUGGACUGAUCGUACGUGGGCGUUGCAAGUACAAAAGAUAUCGCCAUUUUGUUGUUUUUGUGCGGGAAAAGACAAAAAGUUGGACGUCAUUCUAAAGAAAAGAAUGAAAUGGAUGCUGGAACAACAAUGGGUGGGCAGCUCAACACACGGAAUGACGGAUCAUCUUCGCCAUUUUGCCAGUUGAUGCAAGAAGGCUAUGCGGAAUCCUGCGAAGGAGAAAUGGAAACGAAUCUCACCGGAAUUUUUUGCUGCAGUAAAAGUCUAUCGUAAAAAAGAGGAUUGCGUUGGUGAAUUGCAUCUAAUCGAAUAAUAGGCCACACCAAAAAUGGCGUUAUGAAGCUCCAUUUUAUUUUGAUAUUUGCUGUUUUAUUCAUUCACGGCUGCUGCUUUAUCUAGCUUCGAGCAAUGUCCAUCGGGCCCGUCACAACGGAUUACUCCAUUUGCGACUGUGAGCGCGUGCGGACGUCGUCACGCGAAAUUAAAAAAAUAAGGAUUUUACAACGGCAAAAGAAGUAAUGCGGAAUGUUUUCACGCCGAUUCCUUCACGAUAUUAAUGAACUCAAAGAAAAAGCGUUUCUUAUUCAACCAGUUUCACAAGACGUUUUUCCGAUCCUCAAAUAAUUCGGUGAGUAAAAGUUUGAAUCGACUCAGUGUUGAUGAGAACUGCAGAGCCUUCAUUUUGGUGAUCGAUAAAUUUCAAAGCUUUGCACUAAAUAAUGUGCUUGAUUGAGUAGGAAAAAAAACUGCAGAUUAUUGAUCGGAAGUAGGAAGACAUUGCUGCAGCUGACGGUCUGUCGCAGCCGUUUGUCCAUUCGCAAUAAUCGUUGGUAACAUUUCAUUCCGUGAGUAGAGCUAAUAGUUUCGCAUUUAAACAAUUUGUGGAUGACAACAACAGCAUUCGACAUGAAGACAAUUGUUUGGGUUGUGUUUUUGUGCUGUGGUGUGAAAGGGACCACACAAGAUUUUUAUUGUUCGUCUGUGCAGGAAAGUAUUUUUUUUUUUUCAUCAAUAAUAAAACGUUUGCCCGGCAGUCAUUUAGUAUAAAUAGUCAAUGAGCUUUUUCGUUUUAAACUUUCUCAUUUCACGUUACGAUUGUAUAUGCCGCUAAAUUUGUUUAUUCAAAUUUUUAUUCUAGAUGGGUCCACGUCAAUCGAAUACAAAUGGAACUUCACAGAGUCCAAAAAAUGAUUUUUCCUGUUAUCGACGGGGGUCAGUCGUGAGUGAACGCGGGAUGGUCCAACAACUUUUUUCAAAUGUGACUUGUCUAGCUGAUUUGAUCGUCUGCCUAUUAUCGUGAGUCCCAUACAUCUUCGAAGCUAAAAAUUGUUGGGAAUGGAGAGCUUUGUCCAUAGACCAAUCAGUUCAGAAUUAAUGGACAACCUGAUUCGUUCAACGAAAGAAAGAAAAAAUGCAGUCACGAAAUUGUAAUUUAUAAGACAGAUCGCAGAACCAAAGUAGUUCGAAUGUAAGCGACAGUAUUUCAACUGUUGUUUUUUUCUUGCCAAAUGCAGUCGAUUGAAGAGAAAGAAACGAUUCGAUUGUUUUGAUGAUAACACAAUUGAAGCGGCUUCGGUUAUAUAAAGUAAAUAACAAAGGGAGAUUCAACGAGGGGAAAAAAACAAGUGUAACAACUUUUUCGUCCUGUUCGUUCAAUGUUUUUCCACGUGACAAAAGGCCAAAUGUGAAACCGAAUUAAAUCAAAAAUACGGUUAAACAUUUAAAGGGAAAAGACGUCACAGAUGAAACAAGUUGACAGUGUCCCCGAGGCAAUGUAAAUAAAAACAUUGCGUGUA